AGAGUUUGAUCCUGGCUCAGUGCGGCUGGCAUCACCUCCUUASAGUUUGAUCCUGGCUCAGGACGAACGCUGGCGGCGUGCCUAAUACAUGCAAGUCGAGCGGAUUGUUCCUUCSGGAACAGUUAGCGGCGGACGGGUGAGUAACACGUASGCAACCUGCCCGCAGGAUCGGGAUAACUACCGGAAACGGUAGCUAAGACCGGAUACAAGACUUUGACGCAUGUCGGAGUUUGGAAACACGGASCAAUCUGUGACCUGUARAUGGGCCUGCSGCGCAUUAGCUAGUUGGUGAGGUAAUGGCUCACCAAGGCGACGAUGCRUAGCCGACCUGAGAGGGUGAACGGCCACACUGGGACUGASACACGGCCCAGACUCCUACGGGAGGCAGCAGUAGGGAAUCUUCCGCAAUGGACGCAAGUCUGACSGAGCAACGCCCCGUGAGUGAUGAAGGUUUUCGGAUCGUAAAGCUCUGUUGCCAGGGAAGAAAGGCCAGGAGAGUAACUGCUCCUGGAUUGACGGUACCUGASAAGAAAGCCCCGGCUAACUACGUGCCAGCAGCCGCGGUAAUACGUACGGGGCAAGCGUUGUCCGGAAUUAUUGGGCGUAAAGCGCGCGCAGGCGGCUGUUUAAGUCUGGYGUUUAAUCCUGGGGCUCAACCCCGGGUCGCACUGGAAACUGGACGGCUUGAGUGCAGAAGAGGAGAGUGGAAUUCCACSUGUAGCGGUGAAAUGCGUA
This 735-nucleotide non-coding RNA is filed under the name uncultured bacterium. RNAcentral describes it as "bacterial SSU rRNA". It matches the Rfam family "Bacterial small subunit ribosomal RNA", at positions 1 to 692 of the family's 1533-position model. The record is from RNAcentral. RNAcentral also lists the same sequence under 1 other name.